CCUACGGGCGGCAGCAGUGGGGAAUAUUGCACAAUGGGCGCAAGCCUGAUGCAGCCAUGCCGCGUGUGUGAAGAAGGCCUUCGGGUUGUAAAGCACUUUCAGCGGGGAGGAAGGCGUUAAGGUUAAUAACCUUGUCGAUUGACGUUACCCGCAGAAGAAGCACCGGCUAACUCCGUGCCAGCAGCCGCGGUAAUACGGAGGGUGUAAGCGUUAAUCGGAAUUACUGGGCGUAAAGCGCACGCAGGCGGUCUGUCAAGUCGGAUGUGAAAUCCCCGGGCUCAACCUGGGAACUGCAUUCGAAACUGGCAGGCUAGAGUCUUGUAGAGGGGGGUAGAAUUCCAGGUGUAGCGGUGAAAUGCGUAGAGAUCUGGAGGAAUACCGGUGGCGAAGGCGGCCCCCUGGACAAAGACUGACGCUCAGGUGCGAAAGCGUGGGGAGCAAACAGGAUUAGAUACCCCUGUAGUC
RNAcentral lists this ribosomal RNA (465 nucleotides) under uncultured Klebsiella sp. RNAcentral's name for it is "bacterial SSU rRNA". It matches the Rfam family "Bacterial small subunit ribosomal RNA", at positions 338 to 795 of the family's 1533-position model. The record is from RNAcentral. Lineage: Bacteria; Pseudomonadati; Pseudomonadota; Gammaproteobacteria; Enterobacterales; Enterobacteriaceae.